Non-coding RNA from Oncorhynchus mykiss (rainbow trout), 1959 nucleotides. The record is from RefSeq and is a predicted model, not a curated record. NCBI's taxonomy places the organism in Eukaryota, Metazoa, Chordata, Actinopteri, Salmoniformes, Salmonidae.
UUUUGGCAGAAUGCCCAGAAUAUGUUCUAAGUUAAGAUAGGAGACUGUGCCAGACACAUGCAGGAACCAAACCUAUGAACCAUGCUGUCAUGACUGUCCUGUGAGGAUCCAGAUGUGUCGGAUCAGCUUUGCAGUGGAUGAUUUCAACCAGACCCUCUCUCACCCACAGAAGCGAUUACAGCCUUGAGUCUUCUUGUGUAUGACGCUACAAGCUUGGCACAAAUAUAUUUGGCGAGCUUCUUUCAUUCUUCUUUGCAGAUCCUCUCAAGCUCUGUCAGGUUGGGGAGCGUCACUGCACAGCUAUUUUCAGGUCUCUCCAGAGAUGUUAGAUUGGGUUCAAGUCCGGGUUCUAGCUGGGUUCUCAAGGACAUUCAGAGACUUGUCCAGAAGCCAUUCCUGCGUUGUCUUGGCUGUCUACUUAGGGUCGUUGUACUGUUGGAAGGUGAACCUUCACCCCAGUCGGAGGUCCUGAGUGCUCUGGAGCAGGUUUUCAUCAAGGAUCUCUCUGUACUUUGCUCCAUUCAUCUUUCCCUCGAUCCUAACUCGUCUCCCAUGCUUUUCUCAAGACCUCCUGCCCAAGAUGCAGAAAACUCGAUUAAGAUGAAGAAUUUUAGGAAUGAUUCAAAUGUAACAUAGUGAAAACUAAGUACAUAUUUAUUUUCUUUCUUCCAGGACUGAUGGAAUGUCCACUACAAAGUUUUUUUUGACAAGUUUACCAAUGAUUCUCUAUCUCUCCCUUUGAAAGGCUUCCUGAGGCAGAGAGAGAGGCGGACAAUUCUACAAAAUAAAUUCACUUUUCACCAGCGAUCAAGAUGACACACUGAGCGAUUGGCCCUCUGACUCCCUGACCCUGUAACUCUCGCCAAGAUCUGGGACCACAGAUGGUAUCCAGAUGCAUGGAAGCGAUAAUUCGACCGAGAACAGUGAACCAAACCCCCUCUAACCGGCUGAAGUAAUGGCAACAAUGGCCUUCACUAUGGCCCUGUCCACCACUUCUACAUGAGUCCUGAGACUUUCCAUGUGGAGUGAGCAUAGAGAGAGAAUGAUUCCAAACUUCUCUCAUGCUGCUGGUGUACUGGUCUGAAAAUGUACAAGACAUAAUGAACCGUAAAGGAUGGUAGCGGCUCAGGUGAGAUUCGUCUGCUUGGAAAAAUCUGAUUAUUCCCCAGAUAUUGAAAUCCGGACAUUAUCAAGGGCCAUCCACAUUGAACAUAUUUUUGGGAGGACGAACUGUAAAAGCUAUCUGAAGAAGAAAAUUAAGAAACACUAGAAGAAUGAGUGCCGUGAAGGAGGGGGCUGGUCAACCAUGCCCGAAAUUGAUUUAGGCUUGUCCAAAAUUCUUUAUUUGGGGUAUCAGAUUGAUUGUGGAGGUCUGCACACUGUGAAAUGUAUAGUAAUUUAGACUAAGAAUGCAUUGAGAUACCAAUCUGUCAUUACCACAACUGGGGGCAGUGAUGAAAAAAGUUCAUGCUAGAAAUAUAAGAAGAUGAACAUACUGUAUGUCAAUAUAAAUGUACAUUCUGCCAGUGUCGGUGUGUUCUAAGUUGAGGGUCUUAAAUGGAACCAACGUGAAGCACUAAGUACUGUCAUUCUAAAUUUGGGUUGGAUAAAUUAUCAAUAGUUCUAAUUAUGAUUUGGAAAGGUGAGGCUUCUAGAGACAGAGCGAUGCCCCUAAAAUGUGAGUGUCACAUUCUGAAAUUAGUUAUUUUGUUAUGUCUUAGUUUUAGUAUGGUCAGGGCGUGAGUUGGGUGGGUUGUCUAUGUUCGUUUUUCUAUGUUGUGUUUUGAGUUUGGCCUGUUAUGGUUCUCAAUCCGAGGCAGGUGUCGUUAGUUGUCUCUGAUUGAGAAUCAUACUUAGGUAGCCUUUUUCCACCUGUGUUUUGUGGGUGUUUAUUUUCUGUUCUAUGUUUGUAUUUCACCGUUCAGGACUGUUUUCGUUGCGUUCUCGUGUUUUGUUGUU